GAUGAACGCUGGCGGCGUGCCUAAUACAUGCAAGUCGAGCGAACAGAUGAGGAGCUUGCUCCUCUGACGUUAGCGGCGGACGGGUGAGUAACACGUGGAUAACCUACCUAUAAGACUGGGAUAACUUCGGGAAACCGGAGCUAAUACCGGAUAAUAUAUUGAACCGCAUGGUUCAAUAGUGAAAGACGGUUUUGCUGUCACUUAUAGAUGGACCCGCGCCGCAUUAGCUAGUUGGUAAGGUAACGGCUUACCAAGGCAACGAUGCGUAGCCGACCUGAGAGGGUGAUCGGCCACACUGGAACUGAGACACGGUCCAGACUCCUACGGGAGGCAGCAGUAGGGAAUCUUCCGCAAUGGGCGAAAGCCUGACGGAGCAACGCCGCGUGAGUGAUGAAGGUCUUCGGAUCGUAAAACUCUGUUAUUAGGGAAGAACAAAUGUGUAAGUAACUAUGCACGUCUUGACGGUACCUAAUCAGAAAGCCACGGCUAACUACGUG
Molecule: ribosomal RNA, 497 nt
Filed under: uncultured bacterium
Lineage: Bacteria
Description: partial 16S ribosomal RNA
Rfam family: Bacterial small subunit ribosomal RNA
Source: RNAcentral